GGGAUGAUUCUUCGACAUUGGUGG
This 24-nucleotide non-coding RNA is filed under the name Arabidopsis thaliana (thale cress). Lineage: Eukaryota; Viridiplantae; Streptophyta; Magnoliopsida; Brassicales; Brassicaceae. The record is from RNAcentral.